CACUAAGAAGCUAAACCGGGUCUAGCAUUAGCCUUUUAAGCUAAAUAUUGGUGAAUCCCUACCACCCUUAGUGA
This 74-nucleotide transfer RNA is filed under the name Cephaloscyllium fasciatum (reticulated swellshark). RNAcentral's name for it is "tRNA-Lys". It matches the Rfam family "tRNA". From Rfam's summary of the family: Transfer RNA (tRNA) molecules are approximately 80 nucleotides in length. Their secondary structure includes four short double-helical elements and three loops (D, anti-codon, and T loops). Lineage: Eukaryota; Metazoa; Chordata; Chondrichthyes; Carcharhiniformes; Scyliorhinidae. The record is from RNAcentral.